Daphnia pulicaria is the source of this 1085-nucleotide long non-coding RNA. RefSeq lists it as uncharacterized. The record is from RefSeq and is a predicted model, not a curated record. NCBI's taxonomy places the organism in Eukaryota, Metazoa, Arthropoda, Branchiopoda, Diplostraca, Daphniidae. The transcript is spliced from 5 exons.
CGAGAUCGGUUGAAUUAUAAUUUUUACACGGAAGAUUAUUUCGAAAAAAUGAGUUAUUGUUAUUAUUUCCUAUUAGCAUUUGUGGUAGCGCGUGCGCUGGCCAGCCCCUAUGGAGCCCCGUUGGCAGCUUGUUCGUCAAUGACACCAUUACACGGUUUCGACCCGCAAACUGAUGUAGACUCGCCGUUCAUCAUUUUACCUUUAAUGAAUGAGAUCAUGCAAGGCACAAUUGUUAACCUUGCAUUGUCGACUAUGACGUACGAUUACUUCAAAGGAUUCCUUGUGAUGGCUUUUGAUAACUACGGCUAAACGAUCGGCACCUUUUCCGUUGAUAAGUAUGCUGGCCAAUUGAUGAGUUGUCCUUACGAAAGGAAUAAUGCAGUUACCCAUUUGAUGACAAAUCGUUCGUCCAGUUAAACUGGAUGGCACCGCCCUACUUUACCGGGCCCGUUCACUUCAGGGCUACUUUUGUUAAGGACGUAGCCAACUAUUGGGUGAAAGUCAAUUCGUCUGUCGUGAACGUCGUUCCAUUCGUUAUGCCGUCCUCGGGUGUCAAUUUCGCUGGCACCAGCCCCUUGAUGGCGUUGCCUCUCUUGGCUCUGAUUGUCGGCAUGUUUUGAUUUUCAGCUGUCACUUUUUUGUUGUUGGUAGGACCUUUAGAAAUCUUAUUCUUGUGCUACUUAACGGUUUAAGUGAUUUAUUUAAUCAAUGCCGAGCCAACUUAUAAAGUUUGAUUUAUAUGGUUCUAUUACGGUACGUGAUUCAAUAUAUUAAUUUCGGUCUCUCUUAUUCUAUUUUCGAUUUUAAAACCCUUUGUAAGUGAAGGCAUCGUUGCGUAUUUGAAAAUAGCAUGUCCAAAUUUCAUACGGAGCAAUAGAUAAGAGGAAAUAAUUAUAUUAAUUUCGUCAUACCACUGUUACAUAGCACCGCAUUAAGCACAAUGAAAACAGCACUUGCUAUUACGAUAUUUUGAAUUCGGGUUUUCUUAGUAGUGGUCUUGUUUGUUGUCAGCAUAAUAUGUAUCAGUCAUACCCUCGUUGGUUGUCAGAAUGACUUCGUCAAUGGCAUGGAUUACUCCUUGGGAA